ACCUGCAGCCAGACCCUCUUAGGCUAUGAACUCAUCAGCUUUCACAAGCUAAGAAAGUUUGGAUCUAAUCAGUACCUGCAUAGGAGACCACCAUGGGAAACAUGGAGCGCCAGAUC
This 116-nucleotide ribosomal RNA is filed under the name Gopherus agassizii (Agassiz's desert tortoise). The record is from RNAcentral. Lineage: Eukaryota; Metazoa; Chordata; Testudines; Testudinidae.